CCUACGGGGGGCAGCAGUGAGGAAUAUUGGUCAAUGGCCGAGAGGCUGAACCAGCCAAGUCGCGUGAGGGAAGAAUGUCCUAUGGAUUGUAAACCUCUUUUGUCCGGGAGCAAAGUCAUCCACGUGUGGGUGUUGGAGAGUACCUGAAGAAAAAGCAUCGGCUAACUCCGUGCCAGCAGCCGCGGUAAUACGGAGGAUGCGAGCGUUAUCCGGAUUUAUUGGGUUUAAAGGGUGCGUAGGCGGGUUAUCAAGUCAGCGAUAAAAUCGGGGAGCUCAACUCCAUCCCGCCGUUGAAACUGAUGAUCUUGAGUGGACGACAAGUAGGCGGAAUUCGUGGUGUAGCGGUGAAAUGCAUAGAUAUCACGCAGAACUCCGAUUGCGAAGGCAGCAUGCCGGCGUCCGACUGACGCUGAGGCACGAAGGUGCGGGUAUCGAACAGGAUUAGAUACCCCUGUAGUC
RNAcentral lists this ribosomal RNA (459 nucleotides) under uncultured bacterium. Its description in RNAcentral is "partial 16S ribosomal RNA". It matches the Rfam family "Bacterial small subunit ribosomal RNA", at positions 338 to 795 of the family's 1533-position model. The record is from RNAcentral.